Molecule: ribosomal RNA, 1171 nt
Filed under: Escherichia coli
Lineage: Bacteria; Pseudomonadati; Pseudomonadota; Gammaproteobacteria; Enterobacterales; Enterobacteriaceae
Description: bacterial SSU rRNA
Rfam family: Bacterial small subunit ribosomal RNA
Source: RNAcentral
AAAUUGAAGAGUUUGAUCAUGGCUCAGAUUGAACGCUGGCGGCAGGCCUAACACAUGCAAGUCGAACGGUAACAGGAAACAGCUUGCUGUUUCGCUGACGAGUGGCGGACGGGUGAGUAAUGUCUGGGAAACUGCCUGAUGGAGGGGGAUAACUACUGGAAACGGUAGCUAAUACCGCAUAACGUCGCAAGACCAAAGAGGGGGACCUUCGGGCCUCUUGCCAUCGGAUGUGCCCAGAUGGGAUUAGCUUGUUGGUGGGGUAACGGCUCACCAAGGCGACGAUCCCUAGCUGGUCUGAGAGGAUGACCAGCCACACUGGAACUGAGACACGGUCCAGACUCCUACGGGAGGCAGCAGUGGGGAAUAUUGCACAAUGGGCGCAAGCCUGAUGCAGCCAUGCCGCGUGUAUGAAGAAGGCCUUCGGGUUGUAAAGUACUUUCAGCGGGGAGGAAGGGAGUAAAGUUAAUACCUUUGCUCAUUGACGUUACCCGCAGAAGAAGCACCGGCUAACUCCGUGCCAGCAGCCGCGGUAAUACGGAGGGUGCAAGCGUUAAUCGGAAUUACUGGGCGUAAAGCGCACGCAGGCGGUUUGUUAAGUCAGAUGUGAAAUCCCCGGGCUCAACCUGGGAACUGCAUCUGAUACUGGCAAGCUUGAGUCUCGUAGAGGGGGGUAGAAUUCCAGGUGUAGCGGUGAAAUGCGUAGAGAUCUGGAGGAAUACCGGUGGCGAAGGCGGCCCCCUGGACGAAGACUGACGCUCAGGUGCGAAAGCGUGGGGAGCAAACAGGAUUAGAUACCCUGGUAGUCCACGCCGUAAACGAUGUCGACUUGGAGGUUGUGCCCUUGAGGCGUGGCUUCCGGAGCUAACGCGUUAAGUCGACCGCCUGGGGAGUACGGCCGCAAGGUUAAAACUCAAAUGAAUUGACGGGGGCCCGCACAAGCGGUGGAGCAUGUGGUUUAAUUCGAUGCAACGCGAAGAACCUUACCUGGUCUUGACAUCCACGGAAGUUUUCAGAGAUGAGAAUGUGCCUUCGGGAACCGUGAGACAGGUGCUGCAUGGCUGUCGUCAGCUCGUGUUGUGAAAUGUUGGGUUAAGUCCCGCAACGAGCGCAACCCUUAUCCUUUGUUGCCAGCGGUCCGGCCGGGAACUCAAAGGAGACUGCCAGUGAUAAA